UGCUCAUAUUUGAAAGAGGAACUGGAGUUAGAGGUCGGGUGGUGCUUUAAAUUGUUGGGAACUGAAAUCUCCCUAAUAACUACCAUACGUGAGAUGUUCCACAUCAGAGCUUUUAUUUCAGAAAGCCUUUUGCUUUAAAACCUCUUUUCUUUCUGAAGAGAGAAGUAUCAUCUAAUGCACGCAUUAACCCCAGGGACUGCUGUCCUGUGAAACUGAACCAGCUCAGAAAUAGCAGUGUUUGUCUUUGUAUCCAGUACUGCGUGGGCUGAUUUACACUUUUCAGUUCUUUCUCAUUUCUUCCUUUUGGGUAUAGAUGUAUGGAUUUGUAUGGGAACUGUUGAGUCAUGGUCGCACCACUGAUUGAGAACCAGGGAAAAGGACCUGGUCAGCCCUGGAAGCACAGUUUAAGCAGAUCUACAAUGUGAUUGCAUGCACGAGAGAUCUGAGGUCUGAUGUGGCAGUGUGUACGCCAAGGACAUGACCGGACCAUGUGACAAACGGGUAACAGUGGUCACUGGGAAGCUUAACAUCGUUAUGAAGCAAGAGAUGAGCCCAUUGGGAUACUGGCAGCUCAGAGGAUUUGCACCAAGAUGGUUUUUGAGGAAGCCAAUGGCAAGAAACUGGAAAGUAGGAAUGGUACAUCAAGACAAUUGGAAGUGAUCCUGCAGAGAUGAUGCUGGCUGUUGAUAGUGUGCAACAAAAACUGGGCUUCACCACAUCUCUGGAAGAUUAGUAAACACAUUAC
Long non-coding RNA from Tympanuchus pallidicinctus (lesser prairie-chicken), 745 nucleotides. RefSeq lists it as uncharacterized. Lineage: Eukaryota; Metazoa; Chordata; Aves; Galliformes; Phasianidae. The transcript is spliced from 3 exons. The record is from RefSeq and is a predicted model, not a curated record.